Bombus huntii is the source of this 1145-nucleotide long non-coding RNA. RefSeq lists it as uncharacterized. The record is from RefSeq and is a predicted model, not a curated record. NCBI's taxonomy places the organism in Eukaryota, Metazoa, Arthropoda, Insecta, Hymenoptera, Apidae. The transcript is spliced from 2 exons.
UUUAAAGGCAUUAAACAGCACAUCAAUGUACAUUUCAAUUAGACUAAAUAAUAAUGCUAUGAUUUUAUCGGUAGUAACUUUACUUAUUAACUUGAAUUAUUUCUUUCUUUUACUUCAUGUUAGGAAGAGUAUCUUUUUGCUUGAAAUAAAAAAUUGAUAUAGGAGUAAUAAUAUGGAUAGAGAUCAAAAACUGUUAGGGCAGAAAUUACACGUUUGAACUUUAUAGUUCAGUAUAGUUCAAAUAGAAAUUAUAUAGAAUUAUUUAAUAAUUUGUAUUCCACUGGAAUAAAAAUUUAAUUUCUGUCUUUAUCAAAUCUCUAUUUCAGAGUAUUUGUACGUAUGUACUUAUCGUCUGCUGUAUGAUCGAAUAUCGAAUAGGCGCUUGGCCAUGGAUCGCUGCAUUAGGUUUUCGUAAUCCCCGAAACCCAGACAAACCACUAUGGAAGUGCGGAGGUUCCCUGAUAUCGGCUAGGCAUGUUUUGACCGCAGCACAUUGUGCACAUAUGGAUGGAAUAGAAAACAUACACAAUCAUAAUAUUGCCAUUCUUAGAUAGGUGGAGGAGGUGCCAUUUUCGAGUAAGUCCUCAAAUAUAUAUAUAUAUAUGCUAUUGAGUAUUACUGAAGUAUCAUAUCCUGAAAUUUCUUACUGUACACAUAUAUUGUGUCAUAAAGCGUGUACAAUUCUUUCUCAUACUUUUGGUCAUUCGUUUCCUGCAUUUUCAUUUAUUUUUUUAUUUUUCAGGGUACGUAUAUCCCAUUUGUACGAAAGAGCAACUUCGUCGGCUAUAACCCCCUUGUUGCUGGAUGGGGAGCGUUAAGAUAUAGCAAGUGAUAUCAAUUUUAUAAUAAAAUUAAACAGUUCCAGUCUUAAAUAUCUUUCUCAUUUUCUUCGUAGGACGACCACGACCUAAUGCAUUAAUGGAAGUACAAAUGCCAGUGAUUAAGAACGCCGAAUGCAAAAUAGCUUAUUCCAAAUUUCCUAAUGCACCUGAUAUCACUGAUGGUAUAAUAUGCGCCGAACAUGCUCAGGGUGGAGAGGAUUCUUGUACGGUAAUUAAGUUACAGAGUUACUACAAACUAUACGGUAUCUGAAGACACGUCAAUUCGAAUUAACAUCAAAUCGACGUCUUAAACAUUAAAAAUAA